RNAcentral lists this ribosomal RNA (253 nucleotides) under uncultured bacterium. RNAcentral describes it as "partial 16S ribosomal RNA". It matches the Rfam family "Bacterial small subunit ribosomal RNA", at positions 524 to 776 of the family's 1533-position model. The record is from RNAcentral.
UACGAAGGGUGCAAACGUUGCUCGGAAUUAUUGGGCGUAAAGGGCGCGUAGGCGGCCAUUCAAGUGACGGGUGAAAGCCCUCGGCUUAACCGAGGAACUGCCUGUCAGACUGGAUGGCUUGAGACCGGGAGAGGUGAGUGGAAUUCCCAGUGUAGCGGUGAAAUGCGUAGAUAUUGGGAGGAACACCAGUGGCGAAGGCGGCUCACUGGACCGGAACUGACGCUGAGGCGCGAAAGCGUGGGGAGCAAACAGG